Molecule: ribosomal RNA, 969 nt
Filed under: uncultured bacterium
Lineage: Bacteria
Description: bacterial SSU rRNA
Rfam family: Bacterial small subunit ribosomal RNA
Source: RNAcentral
AGAGUUUUUUCCUGGCUCAGGACGAACGCUGGCGGCGUGCCUAAUACAUGCAAGUCGAGCGAACUGACUUGGAAAGCUUGCUUUUCGAUGACGUGAGCGGCGGACGGGUGAGUAACACGUGGGCAACCUGCCCUAUAGACUGGGAUAACGUCGGGAAACCGGAGCUAAUACCGGAUAAUACGUUUGAUCACAUGUUCGUAAGUUGAAAGAUGGCAUCUCGCUAUCACUAUAGGAUGGACUCGCGGCGCAUUAGAUAGUUGGUGAGGUAAUGACUCACCAAGGCGACGAUGCGUAGCCGACGUGAGAGGGUGAUCGGCCCCACUGGGAGUGAGACACGGCCCAGACUCUUACGCGAGGCACCAGUAAGGAAUCUUCCACAAUGGGCGAAAGUCUGAUGGAGCAACGCCGCGUGAGUGAAGAAGGAUUUCGGUUGGUAUAACUCCGUUGCAAGGGAAGAACAAGUAGCGUAGUAACUGGCGCUACCUUGACGGUACCUUGUUAGAAAGCCACGGCUAACUACGUGCCAGCACCCGCGGUAAUACGUAGGUGGCAAGCGUUUUCCGGAAUUUUUGGGGGUAAAGCGCGCGCAGGUGGUUUUUUAAUUCUGAUGUGAAAGCCCACGGUUCACCCGUGGAGGGUCAUUGGAAACUGGGAGACAUGAGUGCAGAAGAGGAUAGUGGAAUUCCAAGUGUAGCGGUGAAAUGCGUAGAGAUUUGGAGGAACACCAGUGGGGAAGGCGACUUUCUGGUCUGUAACUGACACUGAGGCGCGAAAGCGUGGGGAGCAAACAGGAUUAGAUACCCUGGUAGUCCACCCCGUAAACGAUGAGUGCUAAGUGCUGGGGGGUUCCGGCCCCUCAGUGCGGCAGCUAACGCAUUAAGCACUCCGCCUGGGGAGUACGGUCGCAAGACUGAAACUCAAAGGAAUUGACGGGGGCCCGCACAAGCGGUGGAGCAUGUGGUUUAAUUC